AAUCAACGCUGGCGGCGUGCCUCAGACAUGCAAGUCGAACGAUUUAAACUUUCCUUCGGGGGAAGAUAUAGAGUGGCGCACGGGUGAGUAACACGUAAGUAAUCUACCCUUGGGUGGGGAAUAACAUCGGGAAACCGAUGCUAAUACCGCAUAAUGCAGCGGCUUCUUAUGAAGACAGUUGUUAAAGCAUUUAUGUGCCUGAGGAGGAGCUUGCGGCAGAUUAGCAGUUGGUAAGGUAAUGGCUUACCAAGGCGACGAUCUGUAGCCGACCUGAGAGGGUGGUCGGUCACACUGACACUGAAUAACGGGUCAGACUCCUACGGGAGGCAGCAGUCGGGAAUUUUGGGCAAUGGGCGCAAGCCUGACCCAGCAACGCCGCGUGAAGGAUGAAGU
RNAcentral lists this ribosomal RNA (393 nucleotides) under uncultured bacterium. RNAcentral describes it as "bacterial SSU rRNA". It matches the Rfam family "Bacterial small subunit ribosomal RNA", at positions 32 to 414 of the family's 1533-position model. The record is from RNAcentral.